AGUGAACGCUGGCGGUAGGCCUAACACAUGCAAGUCGAACGGCAGCACAGAGGAGCUUGCUCCUUGGGUGGCGGGUGGCGGACGGGUGAGGAAUACAUCGGAAUCUACUCUGUCGUGGGGGAUAACGUAGGGAAACUUACGCUAAUACCGCAUACGACCUACGGGUGAAAGCAGGGGAUCUUCGGACCUUGCGCGAUUGAAUUAGCCGAUGUCGGAUUAGCUAGUUGGCGGGGUAAAGGCCCACCAAGGCGACGAUCCGUAGCUGGUCUGAGAGGAUGAUCAGCCACACUGGAACUGAGACACGGUCCAGACUCCUACGGGAGGCAGCAGUGGGGAAUAUUGGACAAUGGGCGCAAGCCUGAUCCAGCCAUACCGCGCGGGUGAAGAAGGCCUUCGGGUUGUAAAGCCCUUUUGUUGGGAAAGAAAUCCAUCUGGUUAAUACCCGGGUGGGAUGACGGUACCCAAAGAAUAAGCACCGGCUAACUUCGUGCCAGCCGCCGCCGUAA
Molecule: ribosomal RNA, 506 nt
Filed under: uncultured bacterium
Lineage: Bacteria
Description: partial 16S ribosomal RNA
Rfam family: Bacterial small subunit ribosomal RNA
Source: RNAcentral